Molecule: non-coding RNA, 98 nt
Organism: Phlegmacium glaucopus
Lineage: Eukaryota; Fungi; Basidiomycota; Agaricomycetes; Agaricales; Cortinariaceae
Source: the annotation of a GenBank genome assembly
GCCCGCCUAGCUCAAUCGGAUAGAGCGUCAGACUCUUACAGUGCGGUUGGGCAUGGGCAACAAUCUGAAGGCUGCGAGUUCGACCCUCGCGGUGGGCU